This is a long non-coding RNA of Magallana angulata, 258 nucleotides long. RefSeq lists it as uncharacterized. The record is from RefSeq and is a predicted model, not a curated record. NCBI's taxonomy places the organism in Eukaryota, Metazoa, Mollusca, Bivalvia, Ostreida, Ostreidae. The transcript is spliced from 3 exons.
GUAGCAUCAGUCUCAACAAGAAAACAAAGAAGUUUACGGAAAGAGAUGAGAGAAACGGAAUCGACACAGGAAGGAGCUCAAGGAGUUGAAGUUGAAAAUCAUGUAGCAUCAGCCUCAACAAGAAAACAAAGAAGUUUACGGAAAGAGAUGAGAGAAACGGGUUAGUUUAUGUUAUCUUUAAAAAUUCUUCGUACAUUAAAAGGAUUUUUAUUAUUACCAUAUUUAUCAUUUAUUAAAGAAAGUUUUACAAGCUAUGUU